GAUGAACGCUGGCGGGGGGCUAAACAAAUGCAAGUCGAACGAUGAAGCCCAGCUUGCGGGGUGGUUUAGUGGCGAACGGGUGAGUAACACGUGAGUAACCUGCCCUUGACUCUGGGUUAAGCCGGGGAAACUGGGUCUAAUACUGGAUAUGACUUCUCAUCGCUGGGUGGGGGGUGGAAAGAUUUAUUGGUCUUGGAUGGACUCGCGGCCUAUCAGCUUGUUGGUGAGGUAAUGGCUCACCAAGGCGACGACGGGUAGCCGGCCUGAGAGGGUGACCGGCCACACUGGGACUGAGACACGGCCCAGACUCCUACGGGAGGCAGCAGUGGGGAAUAUUGCACAAUGGGCGCAAGCCUGAUGCAGCGACGCCGCGUGAGGGAUGACGGCCUUCGGGUUGUAAACCUCUUUCAGUAGGGAAGAAGCGAGAGUGACGGUACCUGCAGAAGAAGCGCCGGCUAACUACGUG
RNAcentral lists this ribosomal RNA (466 nucleotides) under uncultured bacterium. Its description in RNAcentral is "partial 16S ribosomal RNA". It matches the Rfam family "Bacterial small subunit ribosomal RNA", at positions 28 to 507 of the family's 1533-position model. The record is from RNAcentral.